Ictalurus punctatus (channel catfish) is the source of this 473-nucleotide long non-coding RNA. NCBI's taxonomy places the organism in Eukaryota, Metazoa, Chordata, Actinopteri, Siluriformes, Ictaluridae. The record is from Ensembl.
GGGUCACACACAGGAACAGGAACAAUGCCGUCCUUUCACUGAAGCCGUGAGGCAGUAGGACCCAGCGAUCUGCUGCCGCCUCUUCUGCCCUCCUCUUCAGGCUCCUCUAGUUCCAGAGCUGAGCGAGACAGGAGAACAGAGUGCAGAGAGAGAAGGAGGGGGAAAGACUGAGAGAAAGAGAGAGCGAGAGAGAGAGAGAGAGAGAGAGAGAGAGAGAGAAGCGGCGUGAAUGUUCAAGCCCACUGUGCUCCCUGCUACAAUCCUGAAUCUGUGGAAUGGACGGAUUAACCCGUGGGAUUUAAACAUUUUGGAGCUGGAGCUGAAGCUCAUGAGGAGGCGUCCAAUCAGGAGAAGAUCGGGAUUCAAAGACAGGAAGCAGAAGGAAGUGUAGUUAGUAUCGCAGAACAAAAGCUAGUGACACGAGCAGAGAAAGAGCCUCCGGGUUUCAGCACGGGCCCCACAAAGAGUCCCGA